This 497-nucleotide ribosomal RNA is filed under the name uncultured bacterium. RNAcentral describes it as "partial 16S ribosomal RNA". It matches the Rfam family "Bacterial small subunit ribosomal RNA", at positions 28 to 507 of the family's 1533-position model. The record is from RNAcentral.
GAUGAACGCUGGCGGCGUGCCUAAUACAUGCAAGUCGAGCGAACAGACGAGGAGCUUGCUCCUCUGACGUUAGCGGCGGACGGGUGAGUAACACGUGGAUAACCUACCUAUAAGACUGGGAUAACUUCGGGAAACCGGAGCUAAUACCGGAUAAUAUAUUUAACCGCAUGGUUCAAUAGUGAAAGACGGUUUUGCUGUCACCUAUAGAUGUAUCCCCGCCUAAUUAGCAGGUUGGUAAGGUAACGGCUUACCAAGGCAACGAUGCGUAGCCGACCUGAGAGGGUGAUCGGCCCCACGGGAACUGAGACACGGUCCAGACUCCUACGGGAGGCAGCAGUAGGGAAUCUUCCGCAAUGGGCGAAAGCCUGACGGAGCAACGCCGCGUGAGUGAUGAAGGUCUUCGGAUCUUAAAACUCUGUUAUUAGGGAAGACCAAAUGUGUAAGUAACUAUGCACGUCUUGACGGUACCUAAUCAGAAAGCCACGGCUAACUACGUG